RNAcentral lists this ribosomal RNA (423 nucleotides) under uncultured bacterium. Its description in RNAcentral is "bacterial SSU rRNA". It matches the Rfam family "Bacterial small subunit ribosomal RNA", at positions 207 to 622 of the family's 1533-position model. The record is from RNAcentral.
AAGACCUUGCGCUUUUGGAGCGGCCGAUGCCUGAUUAGCUUGUUGGUAAGGUAAAAGCUUACCAAGGCUUCGAUCAGUAGCUGGUCUGAGAGGACGACCAGCCACACUGGGACUGAGACACGGCCCAGACUCCUACGGGAGGCAGCAGUGGGGAAUUUUGGACAAUGGGGGCAACCCUGAUCCAGCCAUGCCGCGUGAGUGAAGAAGGCCUUCGGGUUGUAAAGCUCUUUCAGCCGGAACGAAACGGUUACGGUUAAUACCCGUGACUACUGACGGUACCGGAAGAAGGAGCACCGGCUAACUACGUGCCAGCAGCCGCGGUAAUACGUAGGGUGCGAGCGUUAAUCGGAAUUACUGGGCGUAAAGCGUGCGCAGGUGGUUUUGUAAGUCAGAUGCGAAAGCCCCGGGCUCAACCUGGGAACU